Molecule: long non-coding RNA, 463 nt
Organism: Chinchilla lanigera (long-tailed chinchilla)
Lineage: Eukaryota; Metazoa; Chordata; Mammalia; Rodentia; Chinchillidae
Exons: 3
Source: RefSeq, a predicted model, not a curated record
AGCGUGAGACGUUCGCUGUGGUAGAGCCCUGAGUCCUGUGAUGGUCGCCCUUAAAGUCAGCCUGUGGAAAAGGAGUUCGUGCGCCUGGUAUUCCUAGCUUCCAUCCCCGCGCACUGCCGAUCGGUGCUUAGGAGGGAGGCGACUUCCACAUCAGUGGCCCUGUGCUGAGAUUUGAGAAGGCGGCCACGUGGAGAAGGAAUUUGGAUUAUCACGAAAUGUUGAAGAUCACCUUCGUAUUGACCUAUAGUCAUGACAUGCUAACUAGAUCUAGAGAAAAGGAAGUGCAUAAGUAGAGGAGAGAGAAGAUGAUGACCUUGAAGUGGCCUCACAGCAGAGACUUAAAGGAUGCAGAGUAACAUGCAAUAAUCUAAGACCCCAUGGAAAUGGAUAUAUUGCAGUAUGGUUGGAUGCCAUUGGUCAGAAACAAAUAAAAUGUGAAUGUGUCAUCACAUGACCAUGAAAA